UGCCAGCCGCCGCGGUAAUACGGAGGGUGCAAGCGUUGUUCGGAAUUAUUGGGCGUAAAGCGCGUGUAGGCGGACUGUUAAGUCUGAUGUGAAAGCCCGGGGCUCAACCUGGGAAGUGCAUUUGAUACUGCCAAGCUUGAGUAUGGGAGAGGGAAGUGGAAUUCCUGGUGUAGAGGUGAAAUUCGUAGAUAUCAGGAGGAACACCGAUGGCGAAGGCAUCUCUCUGGACCGAUACUGACGCUGAGGCGCGAAGGCGUGGGUAGCGAACAGGAUUAGAUA
Molecule: ribosomal RNA, 279 nt
Filed under: uncultured bacterium
Lineage: Bacteria
Description: partial 16S ribosomal RNA
Rfam family: Bacterial small subunit ribosomal RNA
Source: RNAcentral